AGAGUUUGAUCCUGGCUCAGGAUGAACGCUGGCGGCGUGCCUAAUACAUGCAAGUCGAGCGAACGGACGAGAAGCUUGCUUCUCUGAUGUUAGCGGCGGACGGGUGAGUAACACGUGGAUAACCUACCUAUAAGACUGGGAUAACUUCGGGAAACCGGAGCUAAUACCGGAUAAUAUUUUGAACCGCAUGGUUCAAAAGUGAAAGACGGUCUUGCUGUCACUUAUAGAUGGAUCCGCGCUGCAUUAGCUAGUUGGUAAGGUAACGGCUUACCAAGGCAACGAUGCAUAGCCGACCUGAGAGGGUGAUCGGCCACACUGGAACUGAGACACGGUCCAGACUCCUACGGGAGGCAGCAGUAGGGAAUCUUCCGCAAUGGGCGAAAGCCUGACGGAGCAACGCCGCGUGAGUGAUGAAGGUCUUCGGAUCGUAAAACUCUGUUAUUAGGGAAGAACAUAUGUGUAAGUAACUGUGCACAUCUUGACGGUACCUAAUCAGAAAGCCACGGCUAACUACGUGCCAGCAGCCGCGGUAAUACGUAGGUGGCAAGCGUUAUCCGGAAUUAUUGGGCGUAAAGCGCGCGUAGGCGGUUUUUUAAGUCUGAUGUGAAAGCCCACGGCUCAACCGUGGAGGGUCAUUGGAAACUGGAAAACUUGAGUGCAGAAGAGGAAAGUGGAAUUCCAUGUGUAGCGGUGAAAUGCGCAGAGAUAUGGAGGAACACCAGUGGCGAAGGCGACUUUCUGGUCUGUAACUGACGCUGAUGUGCGAAAGCGUGGGGAUCAAACAGGAUUAGAUACCCUGGUAGUCCACGCCGUAAACGAUGAGUGCUAAGUGUUAGGGGGUUUCCGCCCCUUAGUGCUGCAGCUAACGCAUUAAGCACUCCGCCUGGGGAGUACGACCGCAAGGUUGAAACUCAAAGGAAUUGACGGGGACCCGCACAAGCGGUGGAGCAUGUGGUUUAAUUCGAAGCAACGCGAAGAACCUUACCAAAUCUUGACAUCCUUUGACAAAUCUAGAGAUAGAGCCUUCCCCUUCGGGGGACAAAGUGACAGGUGGUGCAUGGUUGUCGUCAGCUCGUGUCGUGAGAUGUUGGGUUAAGUCCCGCAACGAGCGCAACCCUUAAGCUUAGUUGCCAUCAUUAAGUUGGGCACUCUAAGUUGACUGCCGGUGACAAACCGGAGGAAGGUGGGGAUGACGUCAAAUCAUCAUGCCCCUUAUGAUUUGGGCUACACACGUGCUACAAUGGACAAUACAAAGGGCAGCGAAACCGCGAGGUCAAGCAAAUCCCAUAAAGUUGUUCUCAGUUCGGAUUGUAGUCUGCAACUCGACUACAUGAAGCUGGAAUCGCUAGUAAUCGUAGAUCAGCAUGCUACGGUGAAUACGUUCCCGGGUCUUGUACACACCGCCCGUCACACCACGAGAGUUUGUAACACCCGAAGCCGGUGGAGUAACCUUUUAGGAGCUAGCCGUCGAAGGUGGGACAAAUGAUUGGGGUGAAGUCGUAACAAGGUAGCCGUAUCGGAAGGUGCGGCUGGAUCACCU
RNAcentral lists this ribosomal RNA (1540 nucleotides) under Staphylococcus aureus M1183. Its description in RNAcentral is "16S ribosomal RNA". It matches the Rfam family "Bacterial small subunit ribosomal RNA". RNAcentral also lists the same sequence under 1 other name. Lineage: Bacteria; Bacillati; Bacillota; Bacilli; Caryophanales; Staphylococcaceae. The record is from RNAcentral.